This 253-nucleotide ribosomal RNA is filed under the name uncultured bacterium. RNAcentral describes it as "partial 16S ribosomal RNA". It matches the Rfam family "Bacterial small subunit ribosomal RNA", at positions 524 to 776 of the family's 1533-position model. The record is from RNAcentral.
UACGAAGGGGGCUAGCGUUGUUCGGAAUCACUGGGCGUAAAGCGCACGUAGGCGGACUCUUAAGUCGGUGGUGAAAUCCUGGAGCUCAACUCCAGAACUGCCUUCGAUACUGAGAGUCUCGAGUCCGGGAGAGGUGAGUGGAACUGCGAGUGUAGAGGUGAAAUUCGUAGAUAUUCGCAAGAACACCAGUGGCGAAGGCGGCUCACUGGCCCGGUACUGACGCUGAGGUGCGAAAGCGUGGGGAGCAAACGGG